RNAcentral lists this transfer RNA (74 nucleotides) under Candidatus Poribacteria bacterium. RNAcentral's name for it is "tRNA-Gln". It matches the Rfam family "tRNA". Rfam says of the family: Transfer RNA (tRNA) molecules are approximately 80 nucleotides in length. The record is from RNAcentral. Lineage: Bacteria; Candidatus Poribacteria.
UGGGGAGUCGUCUAAGGGUAGGACAUGCGGCUCUGGACCGUAGGGUAGAGGUUCGAAUCCUCUCUCCCCAGCCA